RNAcentral lists this unclassified non-coding RNA (1042 nucleotides) under Hevea brasiliensis (rubber tree). Lineage: Eukaryota; Viridiplantae; Streptophyta; Magnoliopsida; Malpighiales; Euphorbiaceae. The record is from RNAcentral.
UGGCAUUUCGAUAGGACAAAGGAGCAUAAUUGUGAUUUAUUGGUGAAGGAUCAGGACCCAGCCAACCCGUUGCACUGACAGAACGAGCAAGUAAUGGGGAUGCUUGAACCAUUGAAACUACAGGAGCAGCUGGACGGGGGCCAGGAAUUAGAGGAGCACUGCAAGGCCUUGACAUCACAGGCACUUGCUGUAGCAUUGGCUUCUCAGAUGGUUUUGAAGUCGAGGUAUUCUGGGUCUCAGGUUUUGACAUGCCUAUAUUUUGAAGGGAUAUCAUUGGAGGGACUGCUUUAUCCAUCUGCUGUGCACAAUUUGAAGAUGCUUUCUUACUUUGAACAGAAGGGUCUAUGGCAGUUGAACUCCUGUUUUCCGACUUCAAUAGAACAGUGGAUUGGAGAUUUUUGGGAGGACUUCGAGGAGGGCUUCUGGAAGAUGGGAUAGUUGCCAUUUCUUUGAAAGAUCUUUCAACAUCAACCAAGUCUUUAGUGCUCAAUUUCUUUUGGGGUAUAACUUCUUCCACAACCUUCUUAACUACAUGCUGCUCAGUCCACAUGAUUCUGUCUUGUGAGCCAUGAACGAUAGCUUCAGGCUCACAUUCAACAGCCUUGCUACUUCCAGUAACCUCAUUGAGAUCCCCAGCAUCCACUGGAGGUGCAGAAAGGUGAUUAUCCAUCUCAGUUGUCCAACUCCCAUCACUUGUCCCCUUACCUUGCAGGUGCUUCCCUCUGCUAGGUGAUUUGACACAUUGGUAGCUCGAAUAAGAGUUCCCCGUGUAGGAGCCAUUAUUUACAACUGAUGGGACUGAAUCUGUAGAGCAAGUUGACGAGCUGUCAUCCAUAGCAGAUGUGCUCCUUUUCUCAACUGUUCCAUUUGGAAUAGAUGAUAAUCCACUAACUCCGCUGCUGCUGGCUUCUGUGGGAGGAUGAACUUCUGAGGUAUCAGUAUCCCAAUUGACAGGACUUGCAUCUCUGUCUUCCGAAUCAAGCUGGAGCACUUCAGCAGCACCAUCCGCCGAAUCAGACACAUCAGACACAUCUUCCAGAAU